This 279-nucleotide ribosomal RNA is filed under the name Bacillus arachidis. Its description in RNAcentral is "partial 16S ribosomal RNA". It matches the Rfam family "Bacterial small subunit ribosomal RNA", at positions 1 to 268 of the family's 1533-position model. Lineage: Bacteria; Bacillati; Bacillota; Bacilli; Caryophanales; Bacillaceae. The record is from RNAcentral.
UUAUUGGAGAGUUUGAUCCUGGCUCAGGAUGAACGCUGGCGGCGUGCCUAAUACAUGCAAGUCGAGCGAAUGGAUUAAGAGCUUGCUCUUAUGAAGUUAGCGGCGGACGGGUGAGUAACACGUGGGUAACCUGCCCAUAAGACUGGGAUAACUCCGGGAAACCGGGGCUAAUACCGGAUAACAUUUUGCGCUGCAUGGUGCGAAAUUGAAAGGCGGCUUCGGCUGUCACUUAUGGAUGGACCCGCGUCGCAUUAGCUAGUUGGUGAGGUAACGGCUCAC